Molecule: ribosomal RNA, 1259 nt
Filed under: metagenome
Description: bacterial LSU rRNA
Rfam family: Bacterial large subunit ribosomal RNA
Source: RNAcentral
GUAUUCUAAGGCGCUUGAGAGAACUCAGGAGAAGGAACUCGGCAAAUUGACACCGUAACUUCGGAAGAAGGUGUGCCUUUAGUAGGUGAACCUGUACAAGGGGAGCCCAAUGAGGUUGCAAAAAAUCGGUGGCUGCGACUGUUUAAUAAAAACACAGCACUCUGCAAACACGAAAGUGGACGUAUAGGGUGUGACGCCUGCCCGGUGCUGGAAGAUUAAAUGAUGGGGUGCAAGCUCUUGAUUGAAGUCCCAGUAAACGGCGGCCGUAACUAUAACGGUCCUAAGGUAGCGAAAUUCCUUGUCGGGUAAGUUCCGACCUGCACGAAUGGCGUAACGAUGGCCACACUGUCUCCUCCUGAGACUCAGCGAAGUUGAAAUGUUUGUGAUGAUGCAAUCUCCCCGCGGAAAGACGGAAAGACCCCAUGAACCUUUACUGUAGCUUUGUAUUGGACUUUGAACAGAUCUGUGUAGGAUAGGUGGGAGGCUUUGAAGUGUGGUCGCUAGAUCGCAUGGAGCCAACGUUGAAAUACCACCCUGGUGUGUUUGAGGUUCUAACCUAGGCCCGUAAUCCGGGUCGGGGACAGUGCAUGGUAGGCAGUUUGACUGGGGCGGUCUCCUCCCAAAGCGUAACGGAGGAGUUCGAAGGUACGCUAGGUACGGUCGGACAUCGUGCUAAUAGUGCAAUGGCAUAAGCGUGCUUAACUGCGAGACUGACAAGUCGAGCAGAUGCGAAAGCAGGACAUAGUGAUCCGGUGGUUCUGUAUGGAAGGGCCAUCGCUCAACGGAUAAAAGGUACUCUGGGGAUAACAGGCUGAUACCGCCCAAGAGUUCAUAUCGACGGCGGUGUUUGGCACCUCGAUGUCGGCUCAUCUCAUCCUGGGGCUGUAGCCGGUCCCAAGGGUAUGGCUGUUCGCCAUUUAAAGAGGUACGUGAGCUGGGUUUAAAACGUCGUGAGACAGUUUGGUCCCUAUCUUCCGUGGGCGCUGCAGAUUUGAGGAAGCCUGCUCCUAGUACGAGAGGACCGGAGUGGACACACCUCUGGUGUAUCGGUUGUCACGCCAGUGGCAUUGCCGAGUAGCUAUGUGUGGAAGAGAUAACCGCUGAAAGCAUCUAAGCGGGAAACUCGUUUCAAGAUGAGAUCUGCCGGGGCCUUGAGCCCCCUAAAGAGUCGUUCAAGACCAGGACGUUGAUAGGUCGGGUGUGGAAGCGCAGUAAUGCGUUAAGCUAACCGAUACUAAUUGCUCGUGCGGCUUGACCUG